Molecule: long non-coding RNA, 785 nt
Organism: Amphibalanus amphitrite
Lineage: Eukaryota; Metazoa; Arthropoda; Thecostraca; Balanomorpha; Balanidae
Exons: 2
Source: RefSeq, a predicted model, not a curated record
AUUAGCCUCGUGUCGGCAGAGCCAGAGUAUAAGGCUAGCUCGGACGCUACCAAGGGAGUGGAAAGAGACGAGAGAGAGAGAGAGAGAGAGAGAGAGAGAGAGAGCCGGAGAGAGGAUAGGAAGAGGGAUGGCCUCGUCUCGAAGACUGGUGACGGUGGUGCUAGUGAUGAUGGUGACGGCUGUUCACUGAUCGGAUGCUAGAAGUCUGGCAGCAUCCCCUAAAGGUCAUGCUGGGCAACCCACGACCACGAUUCGCCAAGUACCUACCAUCGGAGGAGGGCUUCGUUGGGUACUUCGGGGUCUCUCCUCUGGGUGAGGGUACUGGUGUUCUCAGUAACCAGGCUCAAGCGACAGCUGAGCGGCUGAGCCGGGAGACUUUCUCCCCACCCAGUGGCCUCCGUUAUUUGCCGGUGCCGCCAGUGCCACGCGUACGGGUACUGCAGCGACAGUUGAGCCGGGAGACUUUCCCUCCACUCCGCUGCCUGUGGAGGCAUUGGCCGCCAGUGCCACGGGAUACCCACCACCAUCACCAUGUGACAACUAUUGCGACCCCCCAGACGCAAUCAAUCAUCACAUUUUUGACACAUUGGCUGGGGAAACCGAGGCGUUGGCUUUCGCAAGACUGUGAAUUUUCGCCGGCCGUCAUAGCAGAGUUCACUUAGCAGCCCGAAACAACCUACGGUGCAAUGGGAUGUGACUGGGUCAAUAUCGGCGAGGUGUUAUUGUAACAACGAAACUAACACAUUUCUUGUGUAUCACAUGAAAUACAUGCCAGUGUAAUCGGA